RNAcentral lists this ribosomal RNA (499 nucleotides) under uncultured bacterium. RNAcentral describes it as "bacterial SSU rRNA". It matches the Rfam family "Bacterial small subunit ribosomal RNA", at positions 28 to 512 of the family's 1533-position model. The record is from RNAcentral.
GAUGAACGCUAGCUACAGGCUUAACACAUGCAAGUCGAGGGGAAACGAUAUUGGAAGCUUGCUUCCGAUAGGCGUCGACCGGCGCACGGGUGAGUAACGCGUAUCCAACCUGCCCAUCACUUGGGGAUAACCUUGCGAAAGUAAGACUAAUACCCAAUGACGUCUCUAGAAGACAUCUGAAAGAGAUUAAAGAUUUAUCGGUGAUGGAUGGGGAUGCGUCUGAUUAGCUUGUUGGCGGGGUAACGGCCCACCAAGGCGACGAUCAGUAGGGGUUCUGAGAGGAAGGUCCCCCCACAUUGGAACUGAGACACGGUCCAAACUCCUACGGGAGGCAGCAGUGAGGAAUAUUGGUCAAUGGACAGAGUCUGAACCAGCCAAGUAGCGUGCAGGAAGACGGGCCCUAUGGGUUGUAAACUGCUUUUAUAAGGGAAUAAAAGUGAGUCUCGUGAGACUUUUUGCAUGUACCUUAUGAAUAAGGACCGGCUAAUUCCGUGCCAGC